This 3787-nucleotide unclassified non-coding RNA is filed under the name Leishmania donovani. Its description in RNAcentral is "gene:LdHU3.13.0420(CDS-product:hypothetical_prote in_conserved)". The record is from RNAcentral. Lineage: Eukaryota; Euglenozoa; Kinetoplastea; Trypanosomatida; Trypanosomatidae.
CGCAUUUGUACGCACAUGUGUGUGUGUGUGUGUGUGUGUGUGCAUGUCUGUGCUUGGUGUACAGCGCGCGCUCCCCUUUCCAGCUUACGCUCUCGCCGACACACCUCCGCGGAAGCAAGUGCCCGUCUCCUUUAGAGGUACCCGUCGUCGAAGCGAACUUUUAGCUUCGUUGUCUCUCUCUUUCUCCUUCUCACACAAUCACGGAGGGCGCGGGCCACGGAAUGCAGGAGGCGUUUCUCUCCGCUGUGCUGCUCCCUCUCACCGAGAAGAGUGGUGAGGUGGAGAGGAUCGAGGAGCUGCUUAGCAUGCUGGAGCACUGCUUCGUUGAUGCCUUUAAGUUGAGUCCUUCGUCCGGCAACAAGAGUAACGCUGAUCCCCCGACUGGAGCCGGCGCUGUCUCCGGCUCCUUGUUUGCCUCCACCUCCUCAACGUCGCUAGACGCGGGCGAGGAGGCGAAGCUGCUUGCCGUGCGGGCCGUGGCAAACUUCCACCGCACGGGGGCGGCUCGUCACGGCACCUUCUUUCGGACGCGUGACUACCACCCACAUGCGGCCCUCUUUAUUCUCGAGCUUCUCAAGUCUCUCAAUGGUAACUCGAAGCACUGGUUUCGGCAGCUGCAGCUGGACAGCCUAGAUGCCUGCUUGGCCAUUUUGGAGGUGACAGGGACGGAGAACGUGCGACUGUGUCUUCCCGGCGUGGUGUCGGUGGCUGUGCGCUAUAUCCACCGCGCUCAUCACGGCAAGGACUCGACCAAGGUGUGCCUGACCGCGAUCAAGAUGCUUUGCACCGCACUGACGAUUUCGUUUGCCACUGCGGAGCCGGUGACGUGGUUACAGGACACCGCCGUCCACUUAACUAGCGCGCUGCGCUCCAUUUUGGAUCCCUCGGUGCUCGUUCGGAGUGCGCACGCUCCCGUGACGGUCGCCGCGCUGAAGUCGCUCAUUGUCUCGGUGCUGCUGUCGUCGGCCAUGACGGAGCUCGUCAACACGCCUCUGAGUUCGCUGCUGAUGGUGGCCUACGCGAUUGUGGAGAACAUGGAUCACCUGCACCACCUCGGCGACGACGUCGUUGGUGCAGCAGAGGCAACCUCUUCGGUUUUGUGCACCAGCAGCAGUCUGCGCAGCUCUACGGAUGACACAGGCAUGUGCACCUUGAUGGGCAGCUCCUGGGCUGUGCUUGCCGUCUCCGAGGCGCUACAGUACCUGAGAGGGAUGGAGCUGCUUCAUCUCGCCACGACGGUGACACGGUCACCAGGCCUGCGAGACCGCUUUUUCCCCUUGCAAGUGCCGCCGCAGACGGCGUCGUCAACAGCAGAGCCACCGGACGUCAGGGAGUCGGUGGUUGCCAUUUUCUUGUCUGUCGUUCGCAAGUGCGUCCGCGUUGUUGGCACCGAGAUGGACGAGGCGGCCCUGUACACCCACCGCCGCCCGCGCAAAUACCCCGCCGGUGUUGUGGAUGAGUUUCUUUUCUGCCUCGCUGGUGCCCUCGCCAGACUUCCGACGGCCACUAAGCUGGCGCCGGACUGCCGCGUCGGUGCCGACGACCUCGGUGACGGUGACGAGACCGUUGGAGAGCGCUUGACGAACGCGCUGCUCAGCGAGUAUGAAGCAGUGUUGCAGGACUGGGACGCCUAUGCGGUGCACCCAGCCGUGCUGUACGUGCUUUCGCGGCUUGUUGUGUGGCAGUUUCACCCCGCGCAAGCCCUUCACAAUCUGCCACGCUGCUCUCCUCCUCCCACGACGGGUGUGAUGGCCCCCGAUGAUGAGGCGAUGGAGUCUUGCAUGUACCCGCAGCCAGCGGACCUCACUGCGGGGCCGUUCGAGCAGCUCUGGAGCAUUGUGGCGCAGCCCCAUCUCUGGGCCAUCACUAAAGAUGAGGAGCUGUGUACAUAUCAACAAGUGCAUCAUCGGCAAGUGGUCGCUGCCACCCUGCUGCGCUUUCUCGCCUUGUCAGCCGAAGUUCUCGCCUGCGGUGGCGGGGCCACGACCGAGGGGUCGAAUGCGGAGCGGGCCGAGGCCCUCGAGCGUCUCUUCACCUUGACUCUCUACCUUGUCCUCGAGAAGGCCACUGCCAGUGGGAUACUGCAUGAGGCGGCAAUGCACUGCGUCGAGGUGUACAGCGCCGCCUGCGGAGAGGCGGACACGUUACUGUUCCUGCUGCGUCACUCUGCCCUCAUAGUGGAUGAGACGGCGCGGGCAGUGAGAGAGGAGCAUCUGCGGCCUGCGGCAGCAAGUGUUCUGCGCGGCAGUCUCGCUUUGUUGGAGCGUCGCUUCGUUCGAGGCGGAGAGGGCAGCAGCAGUGACCGCGCAGCGUCGGGCCGCAGCGGUGCCAGUCUCACUACUCUCGUGCGUCAACGACUCUCCGUGACCGCGAUGUCGGCCAGCUUCACACGAGCGUCCGCUAAGGCGCCCUCCCUAGAAGAGGUUGCACAGGUGGCUGACUUUGUGGCGAGUACUAUUUACGUGGCGCGUGACACCCUCCAGCUAUGCAGCCGCUACAACAGCACGGCAGCCGCAGAGGAUGUGAUUGGCCGCAGAGCUGCCUUGACCCUCCUGCGCGACGCGUUGGACCUCGCAGCUUACCUCAACUACUGUGUUCCCCAGGAGGCUAUGGAUGAAGAGCAGGAGCGUCGCACCACCUCGGCACACACUCGCGUGCGGGCACUUCAGUUGGUGGUGCUGGAGGCUGUGUACGCGGUGUUGCAGCACUGCACGCUGCACGACCAAGUCGCUGUUACUGCUGUUCAGACAGCGGUGCGCGGCCUCACGUGUUUCCUGACAACCACUGCCGCACUGACAUGGGCCGAUGUGACGCGGAAGCGCCUCAUUGAUGAGGCGGCAGAGCGUCGCCGGUCGACGCAGUGCAGUCGACGCGGCGGGCAAAAAGCGCGCCUCAUGGCGAGCGAGGUAGAAGAGGAUGACGCGGCCGAGGAUGAAUGUGACGACGACCCCGGCAGGACUCCCCUUCCAACCCCGCCUCCCGUUGACUGGCCAUGGACGCAUUAUGCGCCGACUGCCGUGGCCGCGGCGGAGGCAGCGACCAGCGUCAACAUUGGGCUUCCUCGCAGCCACCUCCACACCGUCUACCGCGUGUACCUCUCCUUCUUUGCGCUGCUGCGAGAACCCAUGGCUGCCUUUGGGGCUGUCGCAGCCGAGCCACACGCCCGUGCUGGAAUGGAGCGGCGCAAGCUGGGCGACGUCGCCGUUUCCCCGGUGCUGUUUGAGACGCUGAACGGGCUCGAGGCGAUUCGCCUGCUCGCCUGCGAUUUUCUGCUGCAUCGCAUGGUGGAGGAGGUGCUACCGCUGGUUCUCUUGUGGCACGAGCGGGCGUGUCUCUCCCGCAUUCCGACCCACACGGAGGAGCGUGCCAAGCUGGCGACGCAGCAGUUUGUGGAGCGCCUCUACGAGGACUGUAAGGACUCUGUCGACUUGCAAGAGUCGAUGAUGGCCAAGUGCCGCUGCUUCGAUUUGCUCCCUACCCCGUCUCAAGAGCCGGUGCUUUCUUAUCCCCAGCCGUGACGCUGGUCAGCCUGACAGACAAGCGCACAGCAUCUGCAGUGUCUGCUGUCCCCCAACACUCACAUAAAAGAACACUAAUGCGACUAUCAGUCUUUAGACAGUGUGCGGCGGGCAUAUGUGCUUGUGUGUGGUCUCUGCCCCACCCCCCAUUCCUGCAUUGACCCGCACCACUGUCAGUGACUUGGUGUUUUGGGCUUUCGUGACGUCGAUCUGCCCCACCCGGCCCUUCCUCUCUCCCGCGUGCCAGCUUCUCAGACAACGGCGGUGCG